Molecule: ribosomal RNA, 433 nt
Filed under: uncultured bacterium
Lineage: Bacteria
Description: partial 16S ribosomal RNA
Rfam family: Bacterial small subunit ribosomal RNA
Source: RNAcentral
AACGAACGCUGGCGGCAUGCCUAACACAUGCAAGUCGAACGAGACCUUCGGGUCUAUUGGCGCACGGGUGCGUAACGCGUGGGAACCUGCCCUUAGGUUCGGAAUAACUCCCCGAAAGGGGUGCUAAUACCGGAUAAUGUCUUCGGACCAAAGAUUUAUCGCCUUUGGAUGGGCCCGCGUUGGAUUAGCUAGUUGGUAGGGUAAAAGCCUACCAAGGCGACGAUCCAUAGCUGGUCUGAGAGGAUGAUCAGCCACACUGGGACUGAGACACGGCCCAGACUCCUACGGGAAGCAGCAGUGGGGAAUAUUGGACGAUGGGCGAAAGCCUGAUCCAGCAAUGCCGCGUGAGUGAUGAAGGCCUUAGGGUUGUAAAGCUCUUUUACCCGGGAUGAUAAUGACAGUACCGGGAGAAUAAGCUCCGGCUAACUCCGUG